Molecule: long non-coding RNA, 414 nt
Filed under: Cricetulus griseus (Chinese hamster)
Lineage: Eukaryota; Metazoa; Chordata; Mammalia; Rodentia; Cricetidae
Description: lncRNA (ENSCGRG00015034397.1)
Source: RNAcentral
AAGGAAGAGACUCCAGCUUCUCUUCUGCCAUCCUCUCAUCACUGGACUAAUUCAAUGUGACAAACUUCCUGAGGAUGCCCACUUUGAACAAGGACAGAUGUACCAAUGUCCAAUAUUCCCAUCCCUCCAGCAAGAACUGAAGGAUUUCUUAUGGGUACUUCACUGUCAGGCUACUAAUGACAUCAGCCACAAUCUGGGCAGUGUAUUUUACACUCCACAAUUUUCGAUUCCACAUAUGAAGUCGCAUGAUAUUUGUCUGCACCAGAGGUAACCUCACAUGAAGUCAUAGUAACAGUGUCAUGAAAACCUGAGAUUAAGAAACAGAAAAAGGCUGAAUAUGAAGAAACAAUAGAAGAAGAGUUUGUAAAUACAUAGAUAUUAGAUUUUCUGAUUAUCUUCAUUUGAAAGCAAUGA